Molecule: ribosomal RNA, 1425 nt
Filed under: Triticum aestivum (bread wheat)
Lineage: Eukaryota; Viridiplantae; Streptophyta; Magnoliopsida; Poales; Poaceae
Description: partial small subunit ribosomal RNA
Source: RNAcentral
CACGUGCACCCACUUGCACUGCUACGCAACAUGCCGUGGUCGACUCCUCGGGAACGGAAGAAGGCACCACAACACAAGAACGUUAUCCUCCCAGACCGUGUCCACGACUCCACGUGUGUGCACUCUCCCAGAGGCAGAGCUGCCUAUCUCCGCCCCGCCAAUCAACGUCUUCCAGUAGCAACCUCACGCAUGGAGGAGAGCAUGGUGCAGCCCAAGAGUAGGCCCCGCGAGUGAGCCCGCCCGCCCUCCGCCCUGCCUGCCAUGGCAGCCUCCCUCCUCUCUCCCUCGGCUCACUGCCACUGCAUUACCACGCCCACCAGGGGAACCGGAACGCCGCUGCCUUCCCCGCGGUGCCACCCACCAGCUCCGCUGCGCCGGCCGCGGCCGCGGGGCGCGGUGCUGGUGGCGAGAGGCGCCGCGGUGCCUCCCGAGCAAAGCUUGACGCCUCAGUACCAGACGCUGGGCGACGCCAAGGCUGCGCUGUACCAAGCUCUGGAAGGUAUCGACAGAGGAAUAUUUGGCAUAACCUCCGCGAAAAGGUCCCAGAUUCAUGCUCUGGUGGAGCUCUUGGAGUCCCGGAAUCCUACACCGAAUCCCACCGACAAAUUGCACGACAAGGUGGACGGCUGCUGGAGGCUCAUCUACAGCACGAUUUCGAUUCUGGGAAAAAGGAGAACCAAGCUGGGCCUGCGAGAUUUCAUUAGCCUCGGGGAUUUCCUCCAGAUAAUCGAUGUCAAGGAGGAAAAGGCGGUGAGUGUCAUAAAGUUCAGCGCAAGAGCAUUGAAGAUAUUCUCAGGCCAACUUGCUAUUGAAGCAUCCUACACUAUCACUACAAAAACACCUGUGGUGUCUUGUUUCAGAGAGUGGGUAUCAAGCUUGAGAGUUCAACAAUCACCCCAGAUCAGUUGAUGAAUAUCUUCCAGAAGAACUACGACAUGCUCCUUGCCAUAUUCAACCCAGAAGGUUGGCUCGAGAUAACAUAUGUUGACGAAUCUCUACGGAUCGGCAGAGAUGACAAGGCAAACAUCUUUGUUCUAGAGAAAACAGACCCAUCUCAAGUGUAAGAAGAUCCACGAAGCAAAAUGUGUGCAAAUAUUCGUAAUUUCUGACAAUGAGUGCAUCGACACUCAGAGAAGAUGCCACCUUAACGUAUUCCGCGGCACAAAUGAUUGUUAACAGCUCAGUGCAGAUCAUCGAUUCAACCACUCAUCAAUUUCUCCUGAAAAGGAUAAGCAGCAUUCUUUUUUACGACCAUAGAAACAUUUGUUUUUUGGAUUUUUUUAGCUGUGCACUGUCAACGUAUCAAUGUAAGUAUGUAACUAUGAAAGUUCAGUUACAUAGAGAAUCAAACCGCCCCAUCAUAGGGAGCAAUUAAACAACUAUCCAAUUUUGAAAUACAAUAUUUUUUCAAAUACCUGUCAAAGU